RNAcentral lists this transfer RNA (90 nucleotides) under Candidatus Nealsoniibacteriota bacterium. RNAcentral's name for it is "Candidatus Nealsonbacteria bacterium tRNA-Ser". It matches the Rfam family "tRNA". From Rfam's summary of the family: Transfer RNA (tRNA) molecules are approximately 80 nucleotides in length. Their secondary structure includes four short double-helical elements and three loops (D, anti-codon, and T loops). Lineage: Bacteria; Candidatus Nealsoniibacteriota. The record is from RNAcentral.
GGAAGGGUGCCGGAGCGGCCUAACGGAAUAGCCUGGAGCGCUAUGCUCCCUAACGGGGGCUCGUGGGUUCGAAUCCCACCCCUUCCGCCA